AGGUCUGCUUAAAUUUAAAACGUGGGCUUUUUGAACUUCAUCAUAUUGUUUUAGGUUUGCAAAGUUAUAUUUUAUCCUAGGUUUUGACCUAAUAUUCUAGUCAGACUAUUUUGGAUUUUGAUUCUAACAUCUAUAAGUUAAUUGCCCCUCCAAAUGCUGGGUCAUCUGACAGGAGGACAACAUCAGUUUUGCUGAGAUCGGGGAGAAGACGGAGAAGUGAUGGAGUGGAAAGAGAAUAAAUGGUUAGGUAGGAGGCAAGGUUACCUGUGCAGAGCAGAAGUGGUACAGAUGCAACCUGGUUAUGAAGUGGACAUAAAAGUCAAUGGUGUAGCCUUAGAGCUAAGAAUAAUAGUGCAGAUGAGUGAAGAAUAAAGGCUGGAAGAAAUUAAGAACCAGGAACUGAGGCAAUGAGAAGUGGAGAGGAAGGUAGAGAUGAACUAAAUCUCCCAUUAAGGAAAAACAGACAUUGGAAGAAACAAACAGCAAAGGGAAAGUUGACCCACUCAUCUCACGUGUUAGCUGUGGGGAGUCACAGACAGGACGACCAUAUUGGAUGAUGAGAUGGGAGAGGAGAGCACACAGAAGUGAGGGUCUCAGAGAAACCAUAUAUGUGCAGUCUCCCAUAUAUGUGUACAUAUAUAAACAAGCCUUCCAUUUUUACCUUCAAUUCUCCUAUGUGCCCAUGAGAAAGUUAAAUACAUCUAAGCUUCUUUUGAAUAUUUAAAAGUAUAGGAUAUUUGUUGCUGUUCAGUCGCUCAGUCCUGUCCAGCUCUUUGCAGCCGCAUGGACUGCAGCACGCCAGGCUUCUCUGUCCUUCACCAUCUCCCGGAGUCUGCUCCAACUCAUGUCCAUUGAGGAUAUAAAGCACGAAUUUAAAAAUCCUUAAAUAGGCUGAGAGAUCACAUACUCUGGUGACAGAUACAGACAAAUGCCAUACUUUCAAAGAUAAAGAGUUGUUGACAAAAGGCCACAUUUCAAUAGGAGGAACAGCAUAUACAAAUAUGUCUUAGAUACUUCUUCUAAGAGACACCCAUAUUCCUCAGGAAACAGUGAGGGCUGUGGGAGUAGCCCUAGGCUCUGGGCCUAACAUUUCCACUCCAAGGUGAUACUUAAUGUUUUAGUUUUGGAGCAAAACAGGAAGUUACACUCUUCAAGUCUUUGGCCCAGAUAACCUGAAAUCCUUCCAUGUUGAAUUGUUCAUGGACCAUGGGAUUAGAGCAGAAGUCCCUCCAAGUCCAAGCUUGCUCACCUGUGUCCCCAUAGGAAGCCAGGUGGCCAUUUGCGCUGCCCAAAUUUGUAUUUCAGGUACCCACUUGUGAGUUAAUUUCAGAUGAAUGUGACGAACAACUCCGCAGCGCUGGUGAAAACAGUCCUAUUCAAUAGUCGUACCUCAUCCCAUCCAUAUAUGUAAGACCUUCAAUUUCAUUCUUCAUUUAUCUUUACAGAGAUUAAUGGUAAAGUGUCUGUCGAUAUCUGUUCAAAAAAGAGUGGGUUAAAGAGUUUGAAGAGGUAAGCUAAUUUGGUUUGAUCUCCGAACCGAUUUGAGAGAGAGAGAGAGACAGAGAGGCUCCGAGGAGCUGGGACUUUGAGGUGCCGAUCCACGAGGCCGCAGGUGUCCUGGGGUUCAGAGAAUGGACGAGAACGGACGGCACGUUUCUCUGGAGUCUGCUGCGCCUGCCUUUCAGGGCCACUCGCCCAUCUCUGAC
Molecule: long non-coding RNA, 1706 nt
Organism: Bos taurus (domestic cattle)
Lineage: Eukaryota; Metazoa; Chordata; Mammalia; Artiodactyla; Bovidae
Source: Ensembl